Molecule: long non-coding RNA, 308 nt
Filed under: Drosophila guanche
Lineage: Eukaryota; Metazoa; Arthropoda; Insecta; Diptera; Drosophilidae
Source: RNAcentral
UUUCUGAAUCUAAAAUCACGUUUAAUAGUGCUCAAUAGGGAAUGAUCUAAUUGUAUCAGACAUCAAGAAAUCAUAUUGAUCAAGUUUUAAUUGAAUAUACUCCUUUAAAUUAUGUACUACAUAAUAUUCGAGCCCGAAAAGACUUCGUGGUCUUGCUUCUUUCUGGUGGACCUAAUUCUUUUUGAUUGCAGCGUGUCCAUUAGGGUUGAAUGAUUUUUUUAAACUAAGAACUCUUGCGGAAUUGGGUGGUAUAUAAAUGGGAUAGAUAUCACUGACUCAUUCAGUUUCUUACAAAAUCUUAAGCCGAC